UCUAUUUAGAGUUUAUUGAAUCAUAAAUAUUGUACAAAUCUAGUAGUCUUAUAAAUCAGUAUUCUCACAUCAACUUCGAGCAAAAGUAGCAAAUGCCAAGAAGUGGAACUGGUAGCCUCAGUGACUACCUGUGAAUAAGAAAAGAAACAGAAAAUAUGCAGAAUGUCACGAAGCCCAGUAUGUUCAUUAACUUUUAUGGUAGUGGCUCUGAGUUAUCAAGAAUGCAUUGAAUUAUAUUCUGUGCCUGAUAUUUAAUAAAGUAUGAAGGUAUGUACUCAUAUUUAGCAAAAUUUCCAACAAACAUGUUAAAAAAUAAUUCAUAGUGAUUUUCUAAAAAUCUUGAUAGAAACUUAAAAAACCAACCCUGUAUCCAUAGAAGAGAUGUAAGCCAUUUCUCCCUUCUUUUCGUGUAUGUGCCUCUGGGCACUGGUGUACUCUCACAGGUUGUUAUGAAAGGAGUCUUAGCCAUUCCUGUGUCUGCAGAGGCUGCAGCUAUGAAUGUCAAGACAAGUCUGCACAUCUUAGUGGUAUGACUGGUUCCUGUAUGUUUUAAACUUAUUCUCAGAUUAAGUUUAUCUCUAACUUAUUUGUCCAUUUUCUUCUUUUUUCCAUAAGCUAAUUUAAAACUCUCAUUGGAAAGGAAAACUUGUCCUAUGAGGGUCAAAUGAAAACUACUUCGACUUUACUCACAUUAUUACUUUUUGCAGCCUUCAAUGCUUGAAAAAUAUGUGCUGGGAUUACCUCACUCCAGAGAAAAUACUGCACAUGCUUAGAAACUAAAGAAAUAUUAAUCCAUAUCAUUUUGAUAUUGUAUAAAUAUUAAAUAGUAUCUGACUUAGAUAUUACGAUUAUAAUAUCUGACUUGUAUGAUAUAUGAUGUUGUACAAUAUCUGACAUUGUACAAUGUCUGGAGUGGGAGUUGAGAUUUAAUUAAGGUGAAGUGACUCAAUGGCAUGCUCUGAAGCUGUAGUUGAAGAUGGAUUUCACAAUCCUCUGUCCAUUCCUAUGCAUGACUCACCAGUCUCAUGUUCAAUUGGUAGAUUUUUUUUUCCAUUUCUUCCAUUUUUAGGUUUUUAUGCUGUAGCUCACCCUGUCUGGGAAAACUUUGUCUAGCAAAUGGUCUGAAGCUAAGUUUAAACUCAUAAAGUCAAAUUUUUAAAAAUGAGGCUGUUUUGCAAAUAAUUGAAAAAAAUGAUGUUUUCUGUUAUCUGGAUAUUGCUUUGCUAGGCCAAAUUCAGCAUUUAAAAUUAUUGCUUUCGGUCAGAUGUGGUGGCUCACGCCUGUAAUCCUAGCACUUUGGAAGGCCAAGGCGGGCGGAUCACCUGAGGUUAAGAGUUCGUGACCAGCCUAGCCAACAGGACAAAAACCCAUCUCUACUAAAAAUACAAAAAUUAGCCAGGCAUGGUGGCACGCACCUGUAAUCCCAGCUACUUGGGAGGCUGAGACAGAAGAAUCGUUUGAACCCAGGAGCCGAGAUCAUGCCACUGCACUCCAGCCUGGGCAACAGAGCAAGACUCUGUCUCGGAAAAAAAAAAAAUUUAUGCUUUCUUUUUUUCUUUUUUUUUUUUUUUUUGAGACGGAGUCUCAUUCUGUAGCCCAGGCUGGAGUACAGUGGUGUGAUCUCGGCUCACUGCAACUUCCGCCUCCCGGGUUCACACCAUUCUCCUGCCUCAGUGUCCCCAGUAGGUGGGACUACAGGCGCCCGCCACGAUGCCUAGCUAAUUUUUUGUAUUUUUAGUAGAGAUGGGGUUUCACUGUGUUAGCCAGGAUGAUCUCGAUCUCCUGACCUCGUGAUCUGCCUGCCUCAGCCUCCCAAAGGGCUGAGAUUACAGGCGUGAGCCACCAUGCCUGGCCACUUUCAUUUUUAUAGUAAUGUCAACCACAAAUAGUCAACCACUUAAAUAAUUGACUACUUCUACUGAGCCAUAAGAACUGCCAGAAUGAUAUUUCUGAUCUUAUUCGUUCUUAUAUAAGCCUCAUCAUAGUUCCCUGGAAUAAAAUUAUAAAUUGUGUAUGAUAUAAGUAACUAAAAUUAGUUUAAGUUGAUUUCUCAAAAGCUGUAUGUAUUUAUGAUAAGAGAAAUUGCACAUUAUUAGGCAAAAACCUAUGAACUGUUUAGCUUAACACAUUUUUAUAUAUCUAAUUUUUUUACCAAAGCUGAACUCUUUCCAUGUUUACAAGGUAGUCUGGGAUUACUAACAAAAUAAACAAGAGCCUUUCUAGAUAAAUGUGUCCAUAUGCCAGUGCGGUUUAGGUCUUAUUCAAGACACAAGUCAUUACUUCUGAAAAAAUGAAGGCACAUUUAUUAAAUGACUGGGAGAAAUUCCAUAGUAUGUAGAAUGGGAA
RNAcentral lists this long non-coding RNA (2346 nucleotides) under Homo sapiens (human). RNAcentral's name for it is "HSALNT0042248". The record is from RNAcentral. Lineage: Eukaryota; Metazoa; Chordata; Mammalia; Primates; Hominidae.